GAUGAACGCUGGCGGCGUGCUUAACACAUGCAAGUCGAACGAGAAAUGGAGACGGAAACCUUCGGGCGGAAGGCUUCAUUUCGAGUGGCGGACGGGUGAGUAACGCGUGGGUAACCUGCCUCAUACAGGGGGAUAACAGUUUGAAACGACUGUUAAUACCGCAUAAGGCCACAGCACCGCAUGGUGCGGGGGUAAAAACUCCGGUGGUAUGAGAUGGACCCGCGUUCGAUUAGCCAGUUGGCGGGGUAACGGCCCACCAAAGCGACGAUCGAUAGCCGAUCUGAGAGGAUGACCGGCAACAUUGGGACUGAGACACGGCCCAAACUCCUACGGGAGGCAGCAGUGGGGAAUAUUGCACAAUGGGGGAAACCCUGAUGCAGCGACGCCGCGUGAGUGAAGAAGUACUUCGGUAUGUAAAGCUCUAUCAGCAGGGAAGAAAAUGACGGUACCUGAGUAAGAAGCCCCGGCUAACUACGU
Molecule: ribosomal RNA, 477 nt
Filed under: uncultured bacterium
Lineage: Bacteria
Description: partial 16S ribosomal RNA
Rfam family: Bacterial small subunit ribosomal RNA
Source: RNAcentral